GACGAACGCUGGCGGCGUGCUUAACACAUGCAAGUCGAACGGAAAGGCCCUGCUUUUGUGGGGUGCUCGAGUGGCGAACGGGUGAGUAACACGUGAGUAACCUGCCCUUGACUUUGGGAUAACUUCAGGAAACUGGGGCUAAUACCGGAUAUGAGCUCCUGCUGCAUGGUGGGGGUUGGAAAGUUUCGGCGGUUGGGGAUGGACUCGCGGCUUAUCCGCUUGUUGGUGGGGUAGUUGCUUGCCAAGGCUUUGACGGGUAGCCGGCCUGAGAGGGUUACCGGCCACAUUGGGACUGAGAGACGGACCAGACUCCUACGGGAGGCAGCAGUGGGGAAUAUUGCACAAUGGACGGAAGCCUGAUGCAGCAACGCCGCGUGCGGGAUGACGGCCUUCGGGUUGUAAACCGCUUUCGCAUGUGACGAAGCGUGAGUGACGGUAAUGGGUAAAGAAGCACCGGCUAACUACGUG
Molecule: ribosomal RNA, 468 nt
Filed under: uncultured bacterium
Lineage: Bacteria
Description: partial 16S ribosomal RNA
Rfam family: Bacterial small subunit ribosomal RNA
Source: RNAcentral